This 481-nucleotide long non-coding RNA is filed under the name Capra hircus (goat). RNAcentral's name for it is "lncRNA (ENSCHIG00000007656.1)". Lineage: Eukaryota; Metazoa; Chordata; Mammalia; Artiodactyla; Bovidae. The record is from RNAcentral.
GGGGUCAGCUUCCUGAACCUGCAUCUGUAAUUUGUAUUUCAGGUGAUUGUUGGGCAGGUGAUCUGCGUCUGCAACUUGGAAAAACAUUUCUUGGAAUGUUUACUGCUUUGUCCCUGCUCAGAAGAUUCAAACCGAAUGAAGCUCCUCUCCGUUCACCAUGAAAGGAGGCUCUGCCAGUUAUUGGCACCCUUAUGCAGCAGGAGCAUGGGGCCUCAUUCCCCAUGUCCGAUGUCCUGAGAGGCAGUCACCAUCUCCCAGAAUGAGCAGUUGGAGGAGGGCAACGGACCUGCCAGUCAGCAUCCGAAGAAAAAUCUCUUCUUCUUUCUCUAUUCCUGUUUCCCUUCGGCCACUCUCUUGUAUCUCCUUACCUCUAAUACAUUGAAAUUCUAAGUCCUACAGAAUAUAGAGAAGAGCAAAGAGUGAGUGAGGAUAGGAGGAAGAAAAAUAAUGAGAAAAGGAAGAAGUAUGAUGGGAGAAAGGA